GUGGGGAAUAUUGCACAAUGGGCGAAAGCCUGAUGCAGUAACGCCGCGUGAGGGACGACGGCCUUCGGGUUGUAAACCUCUUUUAGUAGGGAAGAAGCGAAAGUGACGGUACCUGCAGAAAAAGCACCGGCUAACUACGUGCCAGCAGCCGCGGUAAUACGUAGGGUGCAAGCGUUAUCCGGAAUUAUUGGGCGUAAAGAGCUCGUAGGCGGUCUGUCGCGUCUGCUGUGAAAACUGGAGGCUCAACCUCCAGCCUGCAGUGGGUACGGGCAGACUAGAGUGCGGUAGGGGAGAUUGGAAUUCCUGGUGUAGCGGUGGAAUGCGCAGAUAUCAGGAGGAACACCGAUGGCGAAGGCAGAUCUCUGGGCCGUAACUGACGCUGAGGAGCGAAAGCGUGGGGAGCGAACAGGAUUAGAAACCCUGGUAGUCC
This 430-nucleotide ribosomal RNA is filed under the name uncultured bacterium. RNAcentral describes it as "partial 16S ribosomal RNA". It matches the Rfam family "Bacterial small subunit ribosomal RNA", at positions 354 to 796 of the family's 1533-position model. The record is from RNAcentral.